Molecule: ribosomal RNA, 847 nt
Filed under: uncultured bacterium
Lineage: Bacteria
Description: partial 16S ribosomal RNA
Source: RNAcentral
UUGAGUUUUAACCUUGCGGUCGUACUCCCCAGGCGGUGUGUUUAUCGGUUUCCUGCGACACUGAAAAUAAAUUUCCAACGUCUAACACACAUCGUUUACGGCAUGGACUACGAGGGUAUCUAAUCCUCUUCGCUACCCAUGCUUUCGUUCCUCAGUGUCAGUAAUGAUCCAGAAAGCUGCCUUCGCAAUUGGUAUUCUUUCUAAUAUCUACGAAUUUCACCUCUACACUAGAAAUUCUGCUUUCCUCUAUCAUACUCUAGCUGAAAAGUUUUGAUGGCAGUUCCAGAGUUAAGCUCUGGGAUUUCACCACCAACUUUUUCAACCACCUACGAACUCUUUAAGCCCAGUAAUUCCGAACUACGCUAGGUCCCUUCGUAUUACCGCGGCUGCUGGCACGAAGUUAGCCGGACCUUCUUAUUCGGGUACAGUCAUUUUCUUCCCCGACGAAAGAGCUUUACAACCCAAAGGCCUUCUUCACUCACGCGGCAUCGCUGCAUCAGAGUUUCCUCCAUUGUGCAAGAUUCCCCACUGCUGCCUCCCGUAGGAGUUUGGGCCGUGUCUCAGUCCCAAUGUGGCUGAUCAUCCUCUCAAAUCAGCUAUUGAUCAUAGUCUUGGUAGGCCAUUACCCUACCAACAAACUAAUCAAGUGCGGGCUCAUCCAAUGGUGCAUAAAGCUUUCUCCGUAAAGACUUAUCCGGUAUUAGCACAAGUUUCCUCGUGUUAUUCCAGGCCAAAGGGUAGAUACCCACAUGUUACUCACCCGUCUGCCACUAAGUAUUGCUACUUCGUUCGACUUGCAUGUGUUAGGCGUGCCGCCAGCGUACGUUCUGAGCCAGGAUCAAACUCU